This 501-nucleotide ribosomal RNA is filed under the name uncultured bacterium. RNAcentral describes it as "partial 16S ribosomal RNA". It matches the Rfam family "Bacterial small subunit ribosomal RNA", at positions 899 to 1397 of the family's 1533-position model. The record is from RNAcentral.
ACUCAAAUGAAUUGACGGGGGCUCGCACAAGCGGUGGAGCAUGCGGUUUAAUUCGAUGCUACGCGAAAAACCUUACCAACCCUUGACAUGGUGGUCGUAGAUUAUGGAGACAUAUUCGUCAGUUCGGCUGGACCACACACAGGUGUUGCAUGGCUGUCGUCAGCUCGUGUCGUGAGAUGUUGGGUUAAGUCCCGCAACGAGCGCAACCCUCAUCCUUAUUUGCCAGCGAGUAAUGUCGGGAACUAUAAGGAAACUGCCGGUGAUAAGCCGGAGGAAGGUGGGGACGAUGUCAAGUCAUCAUGGCCCUUACGGGUUGGGCUACACGCGUGCUACAAUGGUAUCUACAGAGGGAAGCAAUACGGCGACGUGGAGCAAAUCCUUAAAAGAUAUCUCAGUUCGGAUUGCACUCUGCAACUCGAGUGCAUGAAGUUGGAAUCGCUAGUAAUCGCGGAUCAGAAUGUCGCGGUGAAUACGUUCUCGGGCCUUGUACACACCGCCCGU